Molecule: unclassified non-coding RNA, 328 nt
Filed under: soil metagenome
Description: partial contains 5.8S ribosomal RNA, internal transcribed spacer 2, and large subunit ribosomal RNA
Rfam family: 5.8S ribosomal RNA (bases 1-120)
Source: RNAcentral
GAUGAAGAACGUAGCGAAAUGCGAUACGUAAUGUGAAUUGCAGAUUUCAGUGAAUCAUCGAAUCUUUGAACGCACAUUGCGCCCGCCAGUAUUCUGGCGGGCAUGCCUGUUCGAGCGUCAUUUCAACCAUCAAGCCUUCGCUUGUGUUGGGGCCCCGCGGCUGCCGCGGUCCCCUAAAUCCAGUGGCGGGCUCGUCGUCGUACCGAGCGCAGUAGACAUCCUCGCUCCGGGAACCCGACGGGUGCCGGCCGUGAAACCCCCCACAUCAAGGUUGACCUCGGAUCAGGUAGGAAUACCCGCUGAACUUAAGCAUAUCAUAAGCGGAGGA